This 21-nucleotide non-coding RNA is filed under the name Caenorhabditis elegans. Lineage: Eukaryota; Metazoa; Nematoda; Chromadorea; Rhabditida; Rhabditidae. The record is from RNAcentral.
UGCAGUUUUUGAUGACAGCAA